Pelobates cultripes (western spadefoot toad) is the source of this 217-nucleotide non-coding RNA. Lineage: Eukaryota; Metazoa; Chordata; Amphibia; Anura; Pelobatidae. The record is from the annotation of a GenBank genome assembly.
AAAAAACAAAGAAUCAAAGAUUCACCAAGAUCACUGAUCUCACACAUAAAAACCAAGGCAAACCCCACACAAACAUUACGACACGAGUUGUCCAUUCUACAAACCAAACUCAGGGACAUAGAACAAGCCAAAACUACCCACAUGCUUCAGCGAUAUAAACACAAUUUCUUUUCACAAGGGAACAGAGCAGGAGCUCUAUUAGCAGUAAGACUAAAAG